Molecule: ribosomal RNA, 759 nt
Filed under: uncultured Enterobacteriaceae bacterium
Lineage: Bacteria; Pseudomonadati; Pseudomonadota; Gammaproteobacteria; Enterobacterales; Enterobacteriaceae
Description: bacterial SSU rRNA
Rfam family: Bacterial small subunit ribosomal RNA
Source: RNAcentral
AUUGAACGCUGGCGGCAGGCCUAACACAUGCAAGUCGAGCGGUAGCACAGGAGAGCUUGCUCUCUGGGUGACGAGCGGCGGACGGGUGAGUAAUGUCUGGGAAACUGCCUGAUGGAGGGGGAUAACUACUGGAAACGGUAGCUAAUACCGCAUAACGUCUUCGGACCAAAGUGGGGGACCUUCGGGCCUCACGCCAUCAGAUGUGCCCAGAUGGGAUUAGCUAGUAGGUGGGGUAAUGGCUCACCUAGGCGACGAUCCCUAGCUGGUCUGAGAGGAUGACCAGCCACACUGGAACUGAGACACGGUCCAGACUCCUACGGGAGGCAGCAGUGGGGAAUAUUGCACAAUGGGCGCAAGCCUGAUGCAGCCAUGCCGCGUGUGUGAAGAAGGCCUUCGGGUUGUAAAGCACUUUCAGCGAGGAGGAAGGGUGGUGUGUUAAUAGCGCAUCACAUUGACGUUACUCGCAGAAGAAGCACCGGCUAACUCCGUGCCAGCAGCCGCGGUAAUACGGAGGGUGCAAGCGUUAAUCGGAAUUACUGGGCGUAAAGCGCACGCAGGCGGUUUGUUAAGUCAGAUGUGAAAUCCCCGCGCUUAACGUGGGAACUGCAUUUGAAACUGGCAAGCUAGAGUCUUGUAGAGGGGGGUAGAAUUCCAGGUGUAGCGGUGAAAUGCGUAGAGAUCUGGAGGAAUACCGGUGGCGAAGGCGGCCCCCUGGACAAAGACUGACGCUCAGGUGCGAAAGCNUGGGGAGCAAACAGG